GAUCUAAUCCAGAGUACCACGAGACACGUGAAACCUUGUGGGAAGCAGGGAGGACCACCUCCCAAGGCUAAAUACUACCUAGUGACCGAUAGUGAAGCAGUACCGUGAGGGAAAGGUGAAAAGAACCCCGGAAGGGGAGUGAAAUAGAACCUGAAACCGUGUGCCUACAACCGAUCGGAGCACGUUAAAGUGUGACGAUGUGCUUUUUGUAGAACGAGCCAGCGAGUUACGCUAUGUAGCAAGGUUAAGUACUUAAGGUAUGGAGCCGAAGGGAAACCGAGUCUGAAAAGGGCGAAAAGUUGCAUGGUGUAGACCCGAAACCGGGUGACCUAUCCAUGGCCAGGUUGAAGCGAGAGUAAAAUCUCGUGGAGGACCGAACCACGUUGGUGUUGAAAAACCAUGGGAUGAGCUGUGGAUAGCGGAGAAAUUCCAAUCGAACUCGGAGAUAGCUGGUUCUCCUCGAAAUAGCUUUAGGGCUAGCGUCGUGUAAUUGAGUAAUGGAGGUAGAGCACUGAAUGGGCUAGGGGCUAUAGUAGUUACCGAACCCUAUCAAACUCCGAAUGCCAUAUACUUGUAUCACGGCAGUCAGACUGCGAAUGAUAAGAUCCGUAGUCAAAAGGGAAACAGCCCAGACCAUCAGCUAAGGUCCCAAAGUGUAAGUUAAGUGGAAAAGGAUGUGGGAUUUCUAAGACAACUAGGAUGUUGGCUUAGAAGCAGCCACUCAUUUAAAGAGUGCGUAAUAGCUCACUAGUCAAGAGAUCCUGCGCCGAAGAUGUCCGGGGCUCAAACUUACCACCGAAGCUAUGGGUGUACACUACGUGUACGCGGUAGAGGAGCUUUCUGUAUGGGUUGAAGUCGUACCGUAAGGAGCGGUGGACUGUACAGAAGUGAGAAUGCUGGCAUAAGUAGCGAGAAAUAAGUGAGAAUCUUAUUGGCCGAAAACCUAAGGUUUCCUGAGGAAGGUUCGUCCGCUCAGGGUUAGUCGGGACCUAAGCCGAGGCCGAAAGGCGUAGGUGAUGGACAAUCGGUUGAUAUUCCGAUACCACCUAUUUACGUUUGAGAAAUGGGGUGACGCAGUAGGAUAAGAUGUGCGCACUAUUGGAUGUGCGUCUAAGCACUUAGGCAUGCUUGAUAGGCAAAUCCGUCGAGCUAAGCUGAGGUGUGAUGGGGAGCCAUUUAUGGCGAAGUAUCUGAUUCCACACUGCCAAGAAAAGCCUCUAUCGAGUGAAUAGGUGCCCGUACCGCAAACCGACACAGGUAGGUGAGGAGAGAAUCCUAAGGCCAUCGGAAGAAUUGCUGUUAAGGAACUCGGCAAAUUGACCCCGUAACUUCGGGAGAAGGGGUGCCUACGAAAGUAGGCCGCAGAGAAUAGGCCCAAGCAACUGUUUAGCAAAAACACAGGUCUCUGCUAAAGCGAAAGCUGAUGUAUAGGGGCUGACGCCUGCCCGGUGCUGGAAGGUUAAGGGGAACACUUAGCGUAAGCGAAGGUGUGAACUUAAGCCCCAGUAAACGGCGGCCGUAACUAUAACGGUCCUAAGGUAGCGAAAUUCCUUGUCGGGUAAGUUCCGACCCGCACGAAUGGCGUAAUGAUUUGGGCACUGUCUCAACAGCAAAUCCGGCGAAAUUGUAGUGCAAGUGAAGAUGCUUGCUACCCGCGAUUGGACGGAAAGACCCCGUAGAGCUUUACUGUAGCUUAGCAUUGAAUCUCGGUAUUGUCUGUACAGGAUAGGUGGGAGACUUGGAAACUUGGGCGUCAGCCUGAGUGGAGUCAUCCUUGGGAUACCACCCUGACAGUACUGGGGUUCUAACCGGCGGCCAUGAAUCUGGUCACGGGACAUUGUUAGGUGGGCAGUUUGACUGGGGCGGUCGCCUCCUAAAAAGUAACGGAGGCGCCCAAAAGUUCCCUCAGCGCGGUCGGAAAUCGCGCGAAGAGUGCAAAGGCAGAAGGGAGCUUGACUGCGACACAUACAGGUGGAGCAGGGACGAAAGUCGGGCUUAGUGAUCCGGUGGUACCUCGUGGGAGGGCCAUCGCUCAACGGAUAAAAGCUACCUCGGGGAUAACAGGCUGAUCUCCCCCAAGAGUCCACAUCGACGGGGAGGUUUGGCACCUCGAUGUCGGCUCGUCGCAUCCUGGGGCUGAAGUAGGUCCCAAGGGUUGGGCUGUUCGCCCAUUAAAGCGGCACGCGAGCUGGGUUCAGAACGUCGUGAGACAGUUCGGUCCCUAUCCGUCGCGGGCGUAGGAAAUUUGAGAGGAGCUGUCCUUAGUACGAGAGGACCGGGAUGGACCAACCUCUGGUGCACCAGUUGUCACGCCAGUGGCACAGCUGGGUAGCUAUGUUGGGACUGGAUAAACGCUGAAAGCAUCUAAGCGUGAAGCCAACCUCAAGAUGAGAUUUCCCAUAGCGUAAGCUAGUAAGACUCCUGGAAGAACACCAGGUUGAUAGGUCAGAGAUGUAAGCAUGGCAACAUGUUAAGUUGACUGAUACUAAUAAGUCGAGGGCUUGACCAAA
Molecule: ribosomal RNA, 2510 nt
Filed under: Clostridium botulinum
Lineage: Bacteria; Bacillati; Bacillota; Clostridia; Eubacteriales; Clostridiaceae
Description: partial 23S ribosomal RNA
Rfam family: Bacterial large subunit ribosomal RNA
Source: RNAcentral